UAGUCCACGCCGUAAACGAUGGAUACUAGGUGUCCGGGAUAUUAACCUCCUGGGUACUACAGUUAACGCGUUAAGUAUCCCGCCUGGGGAGUACGGUCGCAAGGCUAAAACUCAAAGGAAUUGACGGGGGCCCGCACAAGCGGUGGAGUAUGUGGUUUAAUUCGAAGCAACGCGCAGAACCUUACCUACCCUUAACAUUUCACGACGUAUACAGAGAUGUAUAUUUCUCUUCGGAGACGUGAGGAUAGGUGCUGCAUGGCUGUCGUCAGCUCGUGUCGUAAGAUGUCUGGUUAAGUCCAAUAACGAGCGCAACCCUUAUCCUUAGUUACCAGCAUUAAGUUGGGGACUCUAGGGAGACUGCCGGUGUUAAACCGGAGGAAGGCGGGGAUGACGUCAAGUCCUCAUGGCCCUUACGGGUAGGGCUACACACGUACUACAAUGGCAGAUACAAACCGUUUGCAAAGCCGCGAGGUUGAGCUAAUCGGUAAAACACUGUCCCAGUCCGGAUUGGAGUCUGCAACUCGACUCCAUGAAGAUGG
Molecule: ribosomal RNA, 539 nt
Filed under: uncultured bacterium
Lineage: Bacteria
Description: bacterial SSU rRNA
Rfam family: Bacterial small subunit ribosomal RNA
Source: RNAcentral